This is an RNA transcript of Fragaria vesca subsp. vesca, 1073 nucleotides long. RefSeq lists it as uncharacterized. The record is from RefSeq and is a predicted model, not a curated record. NCBI's taxonomy places the organism in Eukaryota, Viridiplantae, Streptophyta, Magnoliopsida, Rosales, Rosaceae. The transcript has 9 exons.
AUGGGUUUUCCCAAACUCUUCCUCCUCUUCUUCCUCUUGGUCUCAAACCCAUCUCGAUCUUAUGCUGCAGAGAAUGUGAGUGUGACUCUCUGCUACGAGACACUCUGUCCUUAUUGUGCCGAUUUCAUUGUGAACCAUUUGACCAAGAUCUUUGACAAUGGGCUCAUAUCCGUCAUCAACCUCCGAAUGGUCCCUUGGGGCAACGCUUGGCUCAAUUCUGAUGGCUCUUUCGCCUGCCAACAUGGAACAGAUGAAUGCUUAACACAAUUGAGGCCUGUACCAUCACCAUCUAUCCUAAUGUGAAUCGACAUUUUAGAUUCAUCCACUGCGUUGAGCAGCUCACAUUGCACAACAAGCACGAAAAAUGAGCCGAUUGCUUUGAAAUGUUGAAGUUAGGGACUGUUCCUAUCGAUUGCUACAACAGUGGAUAUGGCAAUCAGAUUGAAACAAAAUAUGCAAAGGAAACUGCUCAGCUUAAUCCACCACAUAGAUUUGUGCCAUGGUUGGUUGUCAAUAAUAAACCACUUGCAGAUAAAGUUACUUUGUCACUUUACUAUGACACUUUGAGCAUAUCUUGUGCUACCUUCAUUGUAAAAAAUCUUGCUAAGAUUUUCGAUGAUAAUCUCAUCACCAUCUUUAAUCUCAGACUGGUUCCUUGGGGUGAUGUAUACGCCAACAAAUCGAACAACAGCACUGCUUUCUGUCAGCAUAGGCCAGAUCAAUGCAAGUUGAAUUCUCUGCAAUCAUGCGCUAUCGAUGUUAUGCAUGAUGUGAACAAGCACUUUGCUUUGAUUUACUACAUAGAAUUUCUGGCCAUAGAGGGAAGGCAAAAGGAGUGGGAAACUUGCUUCAGAUCAUUGGGACUGCCUAAGAAACACAUUUUGGAUUGCUACAAUUGUUCAAAUGCAACAAAGCUUGAACAAAACUAUGGCAAUGAAAUUAUGCACCUCAAUCCACCUCUAGAGUUUGUACCAUGGCUGGUUUUGAAUAAUCAACCUACUGGAAAUGACUAUGAAAAUUUUGCCGGCUAUGUGUGCAAGGCUUACAAAUGUAAAAUUGUGUCCAUGACAUGA